Molecule: ribosomal RNA, 301 nt
Filed under: uncultured bacterium
Lineage: Bacteria
Description: partial 16S ribosomal RNA
Rfam family: Bacterial small subunit ribosomal RNA
Source: RNAcentral
CAGCAGCCGCGGUAAUACGAAGGGUGCAAGCGUUACUCGGAAUUACUGGGCGUAAAGCGUGCGUAGGUGGUGGUUUAAGUCCGCUGUGAAAGCCCUGGGCUCAACCUGGGAAUUGCAGUGGAUACUGGGUCACUAGAGUGUGGUAGAGGAUAGUGGAAUUUCCAGUGUAGCAGUGAAAUGCGUAGAGAUCGGAAGGAACAUCUGUGGCGAAGGCGACUAUCUGGGCCAACACUGACACUGAGGCACGAAAGCGUGGGGAGCAAACAGGAUUAGAUACCCCUGUAGUCCCUGUCUCUUAUAC